This 885-nucleotide ribosomal RNA is filed under the name Bacillus sp. (in: firmicutes). Its description in RNAcentral is "bacterial SSU rRNA". It matches the Rfam family "Bacterial small subunit ribosomal RNA", at positions 9 to 873 of the family's 1533-position model. Lineage: Bacteria; Bacillati; Bacillota; Bacilli; Caryophanales; Bacillaceae. The record is from RNAcentral.
UAGAGUUUGGAUCAUGGCUCAGGACGAACGCUGGGCGGCGUGCCUAAUACAUGCAAGUCGAGCGAAUGGAAGGGAGCUUGCUCCCGGAAGUUAGCGGCGGACGGGUGAGUAACACGUGGGCAACCUGCCUGUAAGACUGGGAUAACUUCGGGAAACCGGAGCUAAUACCGGAUAAUUUCUUUCUUCUCAUGGAGGAAGGUUGAAAGAUGGCUUCGGCUAUCACUUACAGAUGGGCCCGCGGCGCAUUAGCUAGUUGGUGAGAUAACGGCUCACCAAGGCAACGAUGCGUAGCCGACCUGAGAGGGUGAUCGGCCACACUGGGACUGAGACACGGCCCAGACUCCUACGGGAGGCAGCAGUAGGGAAUCUUCCGCAAUGGACGAAAGUCUGACGGAGCAACGCCGCGUGAGUGAUGAAGGUUUUCGGAUCGUAAAACUCUGUUGUCAGGGAAGAACAAGUAUCGGAGUAACUGCCGGUACCUUGACGGUACCUGACCAGAAAGCCACGGCUAACUACGUGCCAGCAGCCGCGGUAAUACGUAGGUGGCAAGCGUUGUCCGGAAUUAUUGGGCGUAAAGCGCGCGCAGGCGGUCCUUUAAGUCUGAUGUGAAAGCCCACGGCUCAACCGUGGAAGGUCAUUGGAAACUGGGGGACUUGAGUGCAGAAGAGAAGAGCGGAAUUCCACGUGUAGCGGUGAAAUGCGUAGAGAUGUGGAGGAACACCAGUGGCGAAGGCGGCUCUUUGGUCUGUAACUGACGCUGAGGCGCGAAAGCGUGGGGAGCAAACAGGAUUAGAUACCCUGGUAGUCCACGCCGUAAACGAUGAGUGCUAAGUGUUAGAGGGUUUCCGCCCUUUAGUGCUGCAGUAACGCAUAAGCAUCCCGCCU